GAUUCCGUGGUAUAAUUGUGAGCACUCUGGACUUUGAAUCCAGAUGGUCCGACUUCAAAUCUAGGUGAGAUCU
Molecule: transfer RNA, 73 nt
Filed under: Cricetulus griseus (Chinese hamster)
Lineage: Eukaryota; Metazoa; Chordata; Mammalia; Rodentia; Cricetidae
Rfam family: tRNA
About the family: Transfer RNA (tRNA) molecules are approximately 80 nucleotides in length. Their secondary structure includes four short double-helical elements and three loops (D, anti-codon, and T loops). Further hydrogen bonds mediate the characteristic L-shaped molecular structure. tRNAs have two regions of fundamental functional importance: the anti-codon, which is responsible for specific mRNA codon recognition, and the 3' end, to which the tRNAs corresponding amino acid is attached (by aminoacyl-tRNA synthetases). tRNAs cope with the degeneracy of the genetic code in two manners: having more than one tRNA (with a specific anti-codon) for a particular amino acid; and 'wobble' base-pairing, i.e. permitting non-standard base-pairing at the 3rd anti-codon position.
Source: Rfam by way of RNAcentral